This 67-nucleotide transfer RNA is filed under the name Aprasia parapulchella. RNAcentral describes it as "tRNA-Lys". It matches the Rfam family "tRNA". Rfam says of the family: Transfer RNA (tRNA) molecules are approximately 80 nucleotides in length. Lineage: Eukaryota; Metazoa; Chordata; Lepidosauria; Squamata; Pygopodidae. The record is from RNAcentral.
CUUCAAGAAGCUUUUAUAUAGCACCAGCCUUUUAAGCUGGAGACGAGAUUAACCACCUCCUUGAAGA